Molecule: ribosomal RNA, 317 nt
Filed under: uncultured eukaryote
Lineage: Eukaryota
Description: partial 18S ribosomal RNA
Rfam family: Eukaryotic small subunit ribosomal RNA
Source: RNAcentral
CCCUUAGACGUUCUGGGCCGCACGCGCGCUACACUGACCAGUGCAACAAGCAUCCGUCCUUGGCCGACAGGCCCGGGCAAUCUUUGAACGCUGGUCGUGAUGGGGAUAGACUUUUGCAAUUUUUGGUCUUCAACGAGGAAUUCCUAGUAAACGCAAGUCAUCAACUUGCAUUGAUUACGUCCCUGCCCUUUGUACACACCGCCCGUCGCACCUACCGAUUGAAUGGUCCGGUGAAAUCCUCGGAUCGAGCUGUGGGGCAACCCCGGUUCGAGAAGUUGAUUAAACCUUACCAUUUAGAGGAAGGUGAAGUCGUAACA